GAGGAAACCGGUGCGAUUCCGGUGCGGUCCCGCCACUGUCACCGGGGCCGGCGCGUGAGCGCCGGGCCCCGGGAGCCAGGAACUC
Molecule: non-coding RNA, 85 nt
Filed under: Actinacidiphila glaucinigra
Lineage: Bacteria; Bacillati; Actinomycetota; Actinomycetes; Kitasatosporales; Streptomycetaceae
Source: RNAcentral